This 136-nucleotide ribosomal RNA is filed under the name Similiparma lurida (Canary damselfish). RNAcentral's name for it is "partial small subunit ribosomal RNA". The record is from RNAcentral. Lineage: Eukaryota; Metazoa; Chordata; Actinopteri; Pomacentridae.
GGUUAUACGAGAGGCUCAAGCUGACAGACAACGGCGUAAAGAGUGGUUAAGGGACCCCCCAAACUAAAGUYGAAGCCCCUCAAAACUGUUAUACGUACCCGAAGGCAAGAAGCUCCACCACGAAAGUGACUUUACC